This is a long non-coding RNA of Lactuca sativa (garden lettuce), 835 nucleotides long. RefSeq lists it as uncharacterized. The record is from RefSeq and is a predicted model, not a curated record. Lineage: Eukaryota; Viridiplantae; Streptophyta; Magnoliopsida; Asterales; Asteraceae.
CUCACAUUUUGGGUCAAUUUCUCUCUACAUCUCUAGAAAUCAACGACCAAAUCGUAUCCAAAAUUAAAUCUACAUGUAGGGCUCAAUUCCUGCUUUUAAUAGAUUACUAAUACACCUCUGCCACCACCAUCUACAAACACUCAACACUUCAAUUUCUCUCCAAUCAAGAUUCUUCAUCUUCCUCACAAAGCCAAUGUAGUCCUCGAACCCAAUUAGGUCAAGUAGAGAACUUGAAAACAUCUCCUCCCUUUUAAAUAUAUUAUGGACCAUUUUGCCCUUGGUGUGGUUUUGGUGUUUUUCUCCAAUUUUGGUAUUGAUAUGGUUUUAACUAAAGACUCAGAGUUACUCUACAUAUUUGUUAAGAGAAAAGUUCCUCCCUUUGCGAGAGAAGACCGUUUGAUCCAAUACUUGACCAUAUUGCCCCUGGUGUUGCUUUGUAGCUUUGGUGAAAUUAAUCAGGUGCUUCCCAUGUUUACAAAGCAAGACUUCACAAGAACCUUACAUACUUGCUGUGCAAAGAUAUCAAGGUUUAUUGAUUUUCCUGGUGAUGCUUGGAUUCAACACUUUAGUUCUUAUCUCAUGUUUGUUGAUCAGUGAGCAAACACUGUUUUUUUUUUUUUUUUUUUUUUUUUUUUUUGUACUUUGUGCUUUGGUUUGUUGAUAUUAGUUGUUACUUUUUUCCCUUUUAUGAUUAUCUGUACCAAUUCUAUGUAUUGUUCCAUCCACCAGCUGGUCAAUUAAUUUUAUUUUUAAUAUAUUUCCUUUCAAAAAAGAUGUAGUAGUGGCUUUGAAAUCCUUUAUGCCCUUGAAAAGAGCAGGGCAUAUAAACUUCGUA